ACACUCCUGCGGGAGGCAGCAGUGGGGAAUUUUGGACAAUGGGCGAAAGCCUGAUCCAGCCAUGCCGCGUGCAGGAUGAAGGCCUUCGGGUUGUAAACUGCUUUUGUACGGAACAAAACGGCCUUUUCUAAUAAAGAGGGCUAAUGACGGUACCGUAAGAAUAAGCACCGGCUAACUACGUGCCAGCAGCCGCGGUAAUACGUAGGGUGCAAGCGUUAAUCGGAAUUACUGGGCGUAAAGCGUGCGCAGGCGGUUAUGUAAGACAGUUGUGAAAUCCCCGGGCUCAACCUGGGAACUGCAUCUGUGACUGCAUAGCUAGAGUACGGUAGAGGGGGAUGGAAUUCCGCGUGUAGCAGUGAAAUGCGUAGAUAUGCGGAGGAACACCGAUGGCGAAGGCAAUCCCCUGGACCUGUACUGACGCUCAUGCACGAAAGCGUGGGGAGCAAACAGGAUUAGAUACCCCUGUAGUCCCAUGAU
RNAcentral lists this ribosomal RNA (477 nucleotides) under uncultured organism. RNAcentral describes it as "partial 16S ribosomal RNA". It matches the Rfam family "Bacterial small subunit ribosomal RNA", at positions 333 to 801 of the family's 1533-position model. The record is from RNAcentral.